This 156-nucleotide small nuclear RNA is filed under the name Papio anubis (olive baboon). RNAcentral's name for it is "U1 spliceosomal RNA (ENSPANG00000040736.1)". The stretch from base 1 to 136 matches the Rfam family "U1 spliceosomal RNA". Rfam says of the family: U1 is a small nuclear RNA (snRNA) component of the spliceosome (involved in pre-mRNA splicing). The record is from Rfam by way of RNAcentral. Lineage: Eukaryota; Metazoa; Chordata; Mammalia; Primates; Cercopithecidae.
AUACUUACCUGGCAGGGAAGAUACCAUGAUCACGAAGGUGGUUUUCCCAGAGUGAGGCUUAUCCAUUGCCCUCCGGAUGUGCUGACCCCUGCGAUUUCCCCAAAUGUGGGAAACUCGACUGCAUAAUUUGUGGUUCACACUUUCCUCCGGAAAAAA